GACGAACGCUGGCGGCGUGCUUAACACAUGCAAGUCGAACGGAAAGGCCCUGCUUUUGUGGGGUGCUCGAGUGGCGAACGGGUGAGUAACACGUGAGUAACCUGCCCUUGACUUUGGGAUAACUUCAGGAAACUGGGGCUAAUACCGGAUAGGAGCUCCUGCUGAAUGGUGGGGGUUGGAAAGUUUCGGCGGUUGGGGAUGGACUCGCGGCUUAUCAGCUUGUUGGUGGGGUAGUGGCUUACCAAGGCUUUGACGGGUAGCCGGCCUGAGAGGGUGACCGGCCACAUUGGGACUGAGAUACGACCCAGACUCCUACCGGAGGCAGCAGUGCCGAAUAUUCCACAAUGGGCGGAAGCCUGAUGCAGCAACGCCGCGUGCGGGAUGACGGCCUUCGGGUUGUAAACCGCUUUCGCCUGUGACGAAGCGUGAGUGACGGUAAUGGGUAAAGAAGCACCGGCUAACUACGUG
This 468-nucleotide ribosomal RNA is filed under the name uncultured bacterium. Its description in RNAcentral is "partial 16S ribosomal RNA". It matches the Rfam family "Bacterial small subunit ribosomal RNA", at positions 28 to 507 of the family's 1533-position model. The record is from RNAcentral.